Molecule: long non-coding RNA, 717 nt
Filed under: Vigna radiata
Lineage: Eukaryota; Viridiplantae; Streptophyta; Magnoliopsida; Fabales; Fabaceae
Description: long non-coding RNA (VRAD_LNC006038)
Source: RNAcentral
UAUAUGUAUUACCUAAGUGGGGCACUCACUUACUCCCUACAUAUACACUAACACCGACACCGACAGGGGACAUAGAACAAACCUAUAUCCCACUUACCCAUGAUUAAAAGGAAGGGGACCACUACACCGAAUAAAGAAUUCAAACAUGCAAAAUGGGACCACACACUCUAAACUACAAUAUAACCACUCAUCAUGCAAAAUGGGACCACAAAUCAUGCACACGACUUACAAACACACAAAAACCCAAAUUUCGCACAUGCUCGAAAAAGGUAAAGAAGAACGAAAAGGACAUAACUUACCUCUAUUCGCGUCACCAGUAGCCUGGAUUGACUUCGUCUUCUCCAACAAUGAAUUGCGUCAACGUCUCUGGCUUCCUCUCGCAAGCACUUCAAGAAAUCCCCAAACUCAAAUUUUCGAAUCCCUAAUUCCCAAUUAACAGUUGCUCUGAUUUUGUAAUACCCCUAAAUCCCUAAAUUACUAAAUCCCUAAAUUAUUAAAUCCCAAUUGCCACGUAAAAUAAAAAAUAACACCUCACCACAUUCUCAUUCCAACACCUGUCCAACACGUCAUCAACACUUAACACUGUUUGAUAAGACUUAACGGAUGUGAUGAAAUGUGUUCAUUUUUGCAAAAUUUGUGACUAAAUUGAGACGGUUGCAAAAUAGAGGACCAAAAUGAGAUAAGUUGACAAACUAGAGGACCAAAUGAGGUAUUAAG